UACAGAGGGUGCGAGCGUUGUUCGGAAUUAUUGGGCGUAAAGGGCGCGUAGGCGGUGCGGUAAGUCACCUGUGAAAUCUCCUGGCUCAACUGGGAGCUUGCAGGCGAAACUGCCGUGCUGGAGUGUGGGAGAGGUGCGUGGAAUUCCCGGUGUAGCGGUGAAAUGCGUAGAUAUCUGGAGGAAUACCGGUGGCGAAGGCGGCGUCCUGGACCAUUACUGACGCUGAGGCGCGAAAGCUAGGGGAGCAAACGGG
Molecule: ribosomal RNA, 253 nt
Filed under: uncultured bacterium
Lineage: Bacteria
Description: partial 16S ribosomal RNA
Rfam family: Bacterial small subunit ribosomal RNA
Source: RNAcentral